UACGGAGGGUGCGAGCGUUGUCCGGAAUCACUGGGCGUAAAGGGCGCGUAGGCGGCAUGCCAAGCGUGUGGUGAAAGCCCGGGGCUCAACCCCGGGUCGGCCGUGCGGACUGGCGUGCUCGAGCACUGUAGGGGCGGGUGGAAUUCCGGGUGUAGCGGUGGAAUGCGUAGAGAUCCGGAAGAACACCGGUGGCGAAGGCGGCUACCUGGACAAAUACUGACGCUGAGGCGCGAAAGCGUGGGGAGCAAACAGG
This 253-nucleotide ribosomal RNA is filed under the name uncultured bacterium. Its description in RNAcentral is "partial 16S ribosomal RNA". It matches the Rfam family "Bacterial small subunit ribosomal RNA", at positions 524 to 776 of the family's 1533-position model. The record is from RNAcentral.